Molecule: long non-coding RNA, 566 nt
Filed under: Equus asinus (donkey)
Lineage: Eukaryota; Metazoa; Chordata; Mammalia; Perissodactyla; Equidae
Description: lncRNA (ENSEASG00005036851.1)
Source: RNAcentral
GUCAAGGAGAGCCUAAUGGAGAAGGCAGGAGCCUGCCGGUGUGCACAGGAAACAGCAAGGAGGCCGGCGCCACCGCUGCAGCAGAAAGAAAAUACAGUGCCGAGCGAGAGAAGCCAAACACAAAAGAGCACAUAUUGUAAGAUUCCACUUUUAGAAAGCUCUAGAACCAGCAAAACAAAUCUGUCAUGAUCUAUAGUGAUAGAAAUAAGGCAAUCAUAACAGGAGGAAUGAAGAUUAGACUUCAGGAGGAACCGGGGGAAAAGAGGAACCCAGCAGGGCAAAUGUGCUAUUCAUCUGUCAUCUCUUAGCCUGGAAACUUCCCCAGGAGCAGAGUCAUCAAUCACAAAAUGUUAACUCCAAGGGGAUUUUCAAGGUCCAGUCACCCAGCCAAAUGCCAGAGCUCUCCUACCCGGCAGGUAAACCACCUGAAGCUUCGGACCGGCUGGGUCACCUCGGGAAAGUAACUUAACCUCUCUGAACGCCCCCAAGGUCAGAAAGCUUUGCUUUCGGGGGAGAAAGCGGUAUGCAAACAAGACGCAUACGAAACACACACCGCGGGCGCCGGC